Molecule: non-coding RNA, 118 nt
Filed under: Brevundimonas subvibrioides
Lineage: Bacteria; Pseudomonadati; Pseudomonadota; Alphaproteobacteria; Caulobacterales; Caulobacteraceae
Also listed under: 1 other name
Description: SAM-I sequence
Rfam family: SAM riboswitch aptamer (S box leader)
About the family: The SAM riboswitch is found upstream of a number of genes which code for proteins involved in methionine or cysteine biosynthesis in Gram-positive bacteria. The SAM riboswitch acts at the level of transcription termination control.
Source: RNAcentral
CACUCAUCAAGACCGACCGAGGGAUAGGCCCUUUGACGUCGGGGCAACCAUCGGUUUCCAGCCGAACGGUGCCAACUCCUGCGAGGACCCGUUUCGGCGGUUCCGCGAGAGAUGAGUG